AUUUUCCUGGAAGAUAAUCAUAGCUUUUAGCAUACUUACAAUCCCAAACCUUAUUCAGAUGUGUUUGCUGAUUAUAAAUAUAAAACUCCAAGUAUAUGCUCUUUUCUCUCUUAAAUUAUUAGCAAUAAUGAUAUUUGAAAAAGAUUAUCUAUUAAAAUGGGAUAAUGUUACUAGAGCAACAAAUAGUGUAACUUGUUUUGUUUGUAAUAGCUUAUCGUUCACAAGGUGCUUUUCUUAAUAUACUGUCUCAUUUAAUCUAAUACCAGCCCUAUGAAGUAGGUAGUAUUAUUACCAUUUUUAUAAAUGAGGAAACAGGGAUUUGGAACCAGGCCCAAUUCACUUUGCUAUUAAGUAGGGGAGUUAGGACUCAAACCCAGGUCUAUUAACAUCCCACACCAAUCAUUUUCAACAUAAUAUUAUUUAUCUUUCUACUUCUUUAUUAUUUACAGCUUUAUUAUGGAAUAAUGGAUAAAAAACCGCAUAUAUUUCAAGUGCCAAAUUUGUAAGUUUUGACAUUCAUAUACAUCUGUGAGAACAUGACAUUCAAGAGAAUGAACAUAGCUGGCAUCCCAGAAGGUUUCUUCAAGACCCUUGCAACCAUCUACAUUAAAGAAGAGAAACAUGCAAAUUGGUGUCACUUCACUACGCCCACCAGCCAAUCAGGAUAAGUAUGCAAAUUAACCCAAAAGAGGUGGAGGUUAAUUUGCAUAUGCAGGCAUGGAGUGAAGACUGAAGGCUCUGCCAGAGUGAAGACUGAAGAUGACUGAAGACUGAAGACGACUGAAGACUGAAGAGGCUUGGCUUCUCCGCUGUGAUCAGAGUGGAGAAGCCUCGAGGCUUGGCUUCUCUGCUGCGACUGGAGCAAAGGCCUGGAUCCCGGGUGCCGGAGGAAAACUGGUGCAGGCAGCCAGGGGAAGGAAGGCCUAUUGCACGAAUCUCUUCAUGCAAUAGGCCUCUAGUUUAUUAUAUGUGCAUAUAUUUCCAUAUUCUCUCUUCUGCUUCAUAAAUGUAUAUCUCUAUUUCUAUAUUAAUACCACACUGUCUUGAUUACUGAAGCUUUAGAGUAAAUCUUGAAAACACA
This is a long non-coding RNA of Myotis daubentonii (Daubenton's bat), 1081 nucleotides long. RefSeq lists it as uncharacterized. The record is from RefSeq and is a predicted model, not a curated record. Lineage: Eukaryota; Metazoa; Chordata; Mammalia; Chiroptera; Vespertilionidae.